GAAAUCAUCCGAUGUUUUUUUUUACGGAAGUAGAAAAAAGUGUAAGUCGGGGGAAACACUAAAUACGUAAGUCUAUUAAGCAAGAGAAUCAAGGUUCCAAUCCUCAUUACUCUGUCUCUUUCAACGUGAACAAAAAACCCCAGCAUAGCACAGCAAACGGUCAAAUCGGUGACAAAGCCCUCCGCAAGUCCAGAAGAUGGUCUUUGACUGUUUCAAUAGACAUCCUCAAUCAUCUACAAAGGAAUGCAAUGAGUUUUCGAAAUCAAAUUUCUCCAGUCUGGUUGUAGGUGACAACGCUUACUGCCCGGGCGCAGGUCAGCAAAACGAGUCGGUUCGAAUGCCUCCCCAGUCCGAUUGGGUCAAUUUCAUGACCGCCACAUUCAGUUAAUUCCACGCAUUGCGCACCGCACGCCAUCAGCUCUAAUAAAUCAAGACAUUUUAGAAACUCUGCAAUGGUU
Molecule: long non-coding RNA, 458 nt
Organism: Cloeon dipterum
Lineage: Eukaryota; Metazoa; Arthropoda; Insecta; Ephemeroptera; Baetidae
Exons: 2
Source: RefSeq, a predicted model, not a curated record